UUUAGUGGCGAACGGGUGAGUAACGCGUAAGCAAUCUGCCCCUAAGACGAGGAUAACAGUUGGAAACGACUGCUAAGACUGGAUAGGAGACAAGAAGGCAUCUUCUUGUUUUUAAAAGACCUAGCAAUAGGUAUGCUUAGGGAGGAGCUUGCGUCACAUUAGUUAGUUGGUGGGGUAAAGGCCUACCAAGACUAUGAUGUGUAGCCGGGCUGAGAGGUUGAACGGCCACAUUGGGACUGAGACACGGCCCAAACUCCUACGGGAGGCAGCAGUAGGGAAUUUUCGGCAAUGGAGGAAACUCUGACCGAGCAACGCCGCGUGAACGAUGAAGUAUUUCGGUACGUAAAGUUCUUUUAUUAGGGAAGAAUAAAUGAUGGAAAAAUCAUUCUGACGGUACCUAAUGAAUAAGCCCCGGCUAACUAUGUGCCAGCAGCCGCGGUAAUACAUAGGGGGCAAGCGUUAUCCGGAAUUAUUGGGCGUAAAGGGUGCGUAGGCGGUUAAAUAAGUUUNUGGUCUAAGUGCAAUGCUCAACAUUGUGAUGCUAUAAAAACUGUUUAGCUAGAGUAAGAUAGAGGCAAGUGGAAUUCCAUGUGUAGUGGUAAAAUGCGUAAAUAUAUGGAGGAACACCAGUAGCGAAGGCGGCUUGCUGGGUCUUUACUGACGCUGAGGCACGAAAGCGUGGGGAGCAAACAGGAUUAGAUACCCUGGUAGUCCACGCCGUAAACGAUGAGUACUAAACGUUGGUUAAAACCAGUGUUGAAGUUAACACAUUAAGUACUCCGCCUGAGUAGUACGUACGCAAGUAUGAAACUUAAAGGAAUUGACGGGACUCCGCACAAGCGGUGGAUCAUGUUGUUUAAUUCGAAGGUACCCGAAAAACCUCACCAGGUCUUGACAUGCUUCUGCAAAGCUGUAGAAACACAGUGGAGGUUAUCAGUUGCACAGGUGGUGCAUGGUUGUCGUCAGCUCGUGUCGUGAGAUGUUGGGUUAAGUCCCGCAACGAGCGCAACCCUUAUUGUUAGUUACCAGCACGUAAUGGUGGGGACUUUAGCAAGACUGCCAGUGAUAAAUUGGAGGAAGGUGGGGACGACGUCAAAUCAUCAUGCCCCUUAUGACCUGGGCUACAAACGUGAUACAAUGGCUGUUACAAAGGGUAGCUGAAGCGCAAGUUUUUGGCGAAUCUCAAAAAAACAGUCUCAGUUCGGAUUGAAGUCUGCAACUCGACUUCAUGAAGUUGGAAUCGCUAGUAAUCGCGAAUCAGCAUGUCGCGGUGAAUACGUUCUCGGGGUUUGUACACACCGCCCGUCAAACCACGAAAGUUGGCAAUACCCAAAGCCGGUGGCCUAACUUCGCAAGAAGAGGGAACCGUCUAAGGUAGGGUCGAUGAUUGGGGUUAAGUCGUAACAAGGUAUCCCUACCGGAAGGUGGGGAUGGAUCUCCUC
Molecule: ribosomal RNA, 1442 nt
Filed under: Chinese potato phytoplasma
Lineage: Bacteria; Bacillati; Mycoplasmatota; Mollicutes; Acholeplasmatales; Acholeplasmataceae
Description: 16S ribosomal RNA
Rfam family: Bacterial small subunit ribosomal RNA
Source: RNAcentral